ACUGGACACUUUCCAGGUAAACGCCGCGCGUAUCUCGACAAUGGUCCAUGAAUCAACUGCGAUAGGUACGUUAGGUGGCCGCUCGAGUAAACGAGUCGCGAUCUCUACGAUUGGCGCCACCUGUCGUCGGUUGCCCACAUUCGCGAACAGGAUUGCCAAUAUUUUUUUGGCUUGUCAACCUGUCAAACUGUCAAACUGUCAAACGACACGAAUGAAGUCAGCAAAUUAUUAUUGACGACCAAUAACCAAUCAUCGUGGAAAAGAGGCAACAAUGUCAAUAACAUGUCUUUUUUAGAGAAGGAUGUUAUCUAAACGUCGAGAAAAACAUAUAAAAACGAAU
Camponotus floridanus (Florida carpenter ant) is the source of this 340-nucleotide long non-coding RNA. RefSeq lists it as uncharacterized. The transcript is spliced from 3 exons. NCBI's taxonomy places the organism in Eukaryota, Metazoa, Arthropoda, Insecta, Hymenoptera, Formicidae. The record is from RefSeq and is a predicted model, not a curated record.